RNAcentral lists this long non-coding RNA (218 nucleotides) under Salvia miltiorrhiza (redroot sage). Its description in RNAcentral is "long non-coding RNA (SMIL_LNC013150)". The record is from RNAcentral. Lineage: Eukaryota; Viridiplantae; Streptophyta; Magnoliopsida; Lamiales; Lamiaceae.
CAGAAUGAUGUUUGUUUGUGACAUGUCUAUGUGUGAAUUUAUAUGCUUAUGUGAUUAUGCUUGUUUAUGUGCUUGAUUGCUAUGAGUUUAAUCCGAGUUGAGUGUUAAGUCGAGAGUAGGACUUGUGAAUCCUUAGGAGUUAAGUAUACCUAGGGAUUGAGAUUUAUUUGGGUAAAUAGAAGAUGAGUGAUAAGUUAUAGUUUGAGACGAGAUUGGAU